Non-coding RNA from Acanthosepion pharaonis, 99 nucleotides. The record is from the annotation of a GenBank genome assembly. Lineage: Eukaryota; Metazoa; Mollusca; Cephalopoda; Sepiida; Sepiidae.
CGUGAAAGUACCGGCUUCCGUACGAUCCACGAAGUUACGUAAUAUCGAGCCUGGUCAGUAUCUAGAUGGGUAACCGCUUGGGAAUACCAGAUGCUGAAA